AUUGAACGCUGGCGGCGUGCCUAACACAUGCAAGUCGAGCGGUAACAGGUGUAGCAAUACAUGCUGACGAGCGGCGGACGGGUGAGUAACGCUUGGGAAUCUGCCUAUUAGUGGGGGACAACCCGGGGAAACUCGGGCUAAUACCGCAUACGCUCUACGGAGGAAAGCCGGGGACCGCAAGGCCUGGCGCUAAUAGAUGAGCCCAAGUCAGAUUAGCUAGUUGGA
Molecule: ribosomal RNA, 225 nt
Filed under: uncultured bacterium
Lineage: Bacteria
Description: partial 16S ribosomal RNA
Rfam family: Bacterial small subunit ribosomal RNA
Source: RNAcentral